AAUGAGGGGUCGGGCGGUGUGACAAUACAAUAAGUAGCCUAAACGCAGUUUAUUAUUGUUACAGCCAGUUCCGGUUACCAGGCUCCUCGGACUUGGAGAGGAGCUAGAGGUGCACCUUGUUUAUGCCAUCACUCAAGAGCAACUGAGGUUUCUGAUGUCCUGUGCUUUCAGCGUGUCUCAGAUGGCAGAUAUUCUACAUGUGUCCCGAUCAACACUCAAAUGUUGUCUAAGACACUUCAAUCUGUCACAUGCACCGUUAUAUUCUGACAUGUCAGACUUGGCUCUGGAUGAAAAGAUUAAGGACUUGGUGGCUGGGAACGACAAACUUGGACCGGAGGCUGUUCGAGCGCAAUUAAGGGCAUUGGGAAUCCGGGUGCAGAGACGCAGAGUGAGGGACAGCAUGAUUCGUGUUAACCCGAGGGCGGCUGCCCUCAGAGCCAUGUCGCAGAGGCUACAUAGAAGGUCAUACCGUGUUGCUGGACCAAACUCGUUAUGGCACCUUGAUGGAAACCACAAACUGAUAAGGUGGAGGAUAGUCAUACAUGGUGGCAUUGAUGGGUGCAGCCGCCUCGUUGUGUUUCUUCGUGCUUCCAGCAACAAUCGCAGCAGUACUGUAAUGGAUUGCUUCGUGAAAUCUGUCUCCAGAUAUGGCGUUCCCUCCAAAGUUAGGACGGACCAUGGAGGAGAAAACAACAUUGUCUGCUUGUUGAAUGUAAUACAUAUUGAAAAUAUUAUUUAAAAAAUAGCGCUACAUGCAUCCUUAAUGUCUUCUUGACCUACACAUUGAUUACAUUCUAUAGUGAGUGAUGCAUGCGGCUACUUUUUUUUCUGUAAAUCAUUUUCAGAACGCAAUCACAUUAUGUUUGACAGCUUUAUUGCUUUCUCCAUGUUUUUGAAAUGUAUAAGCCUUUAAAUUACCUUUUACCGACUACUUCUACAAACGAGGCUACACUUGUGGCAGCACCUAUUCCUGUGGCACCACUUCUUGUGGCCCCCCUCCACCUAUACCACUUCCUGUGGCCUCCCCUCCACCUAUACCACUUCCUGUGGCCUCCCCUCCACCAUUCCCUGAGGCUUAUCAUUCAUCUUCACCACACUCUUCUGUUGAUGUUGG
Molecule: long non-coding RNA, 1114 nt
Organism: Salvelinus namaycush (lake trout)
Lineage: Eukaryota; Metazoa; Chordata; Actinopteri; Salmoniformes; Salmonidae
Exons: 3
Source: RefSeq, a predicted model, not a curated record